This 395-nucleotide unclassified non-coding RNA is filed under the name soil metagenome. RNAcentral describes it as "partial contains 5.8S ribosomal RNA, internal transcribed spacer 2, and large subunit ribosomal RNA". The stretch from base 1 to 120 matches the Rfam family "5.8S ribosomal RNA", at positions 35 to 154 of the family's 154-position model. The record is from RNAcentral.
GAUGAAGAACGCAGCGAAAUGCGAUAAGUAGUGUGAAUUGCAGAAUUCAGUGAAUCAUCGAAUCUUUGAACGCACAUUGCGCCUCCUGGCAUUCCGGGAGGCAUGCCUGUUCGAGCGUCAUCAAACCCCAUCGUGCAAAUGAAUUAUUUUUUUUGCGCGGAAGUGACGAUUGAGCGAGAAUAACAAAUCCUCUCGCACCUCGUCGAAAUGAUUGCGGGCGGAAUUUGGGAUCGGGUUCCUCGGCGUAGUGUAUCAAUGCAUAUUUAUGCAACUUGCCGCGGAGUUGAGCCUGACCCACGCGUUCUCGCCGUACAAACACCUCAUUACUUUACAAGUUUUUGACCUCGGAUCAGGUAGGGAUACCCGCUGAACUUAAGCAUAUAAUAAGCGGAGGA